ACAUUUAAAUAGAUUGAUUACCUAGAUCUUUCUAGAUUAUGUAUCUACAAAUCACAAAAUAACUAUUAUGAGACGAGAGUACACUUAUUUUUAAUGUUCAAUUACUAGAUCUAGAUUUAAAAAUUAAAUUAUAUGUUACAUAGGUUAGGGUUGAAAAAAACAACAAGCUUACUCUUUUUAACUACUUUACAAAACAACGCCUUGAUCCAACUUUCUAAAAAAUUUUCACAUUUUCUGUAGUGUUAAAAAAUCUCCAUGGCCAGUCUAGAGUAGUAUAUAGAAGUC
This is a non-coding RNA of Biomphalaria pfeifferi, 285 nucleotides long. Lineage: Eukaryota; Metazoa; Mollusca; Gastropoda; Planorbidae. The record is from the annotation of a GenBank genome assembly.